Long non-coding RNA from Peromyscus leucopus (white-footed mouse), 1255 nucleotides. RefSeq lists it as uncharacterized. The record is from RefSeq and is a predicted model, not a curated record. Lineage: Eukaryota; Metazoa; Chordata; Mammalia; Rodentia; Cricetidae. The transcript is spliced from 3 exons.
UCGAGGUCAUGGUCUCUCCUGUUCUCUGAGCCCAGUCGUUCAAAAUCCUCUAAUCCUCGUUAAAGUGGAAUUCAUUGCCGACCUUGGCGCCACUCGGAUGCCGGUGUCCUUCCCCCAGAUAGGCUGAUGCAAUCAACCUGGGGUGCGGCCUGGGCAUCAGAGGGGACAUCAAAGGACUCCAGAUGACCCUCACAGGUGCCAAGGCUGUGGCCCACUGGGAUAAGGACAGUGUGGCAGCGCACUGGCACUUUCUGUUCAAAGCAGUGCCAGGAAGGACUCAGAGAAGCGACUGCUUCCGGCGGGCUUGGGCCAGAGCAGAUUUGCUCAGGAGCUGGACCUUGAGGUCACAGAAGAGGAGACUCCUAUAGGAGCCCUGAGCCCAGUCUGGCCGUGCACCCACAGUGGACCUUCUGAGUGCUGGGAUUUCCAGGGCUGGACGUUCAAGGCAAGUGAAGAAGACACUGUCGCUAUCUGGAACUGACAGCUUCACACCUACCACCUACCAGUGCUAAGCCAGUAUCAAGCUGUGAGCUGGACAGGGGUGGGUACAGCUGACCAGGGAAAGAAGCAACUCCCAACAACUGGGGUCCACUCUCAGGAGAGGAAUGUCCCCGAGCCUUUAUCUGCCUGUCCCCACAGCAGGGCCAGGGGGAUUGGCCCUGGAUGGAGAUUCAGGCAGAUCACCAAACAGCUUGCAUUCAAACACUCUGGAUAAGUUAUAAUGAACUUUUGUUAUGGUUUGGGUCCAAAAUGUCCCCCACAGGUGCCUGCGCUGGUCCCUAGCUGGUGGCUCCGGUUUGGGAAGUUCUGACACCUGUAGAAAGUGGGGCCUCUCUGGACGAAGUACAUCAGUAGACAGAGUGGACCUUGAGGCUUAUAGCUUAACCUCACUUCCUGUCCUUUGUCUCAUCCCUGCUUUCUGUACCCCUGAGAUGUGAGAAGGAGAGGAACCCUGCUGUAUAUUCCCUCUACCAUGUUGGACCAUGUCUCCUUAACCAUGCAUGAAUCCAAGUCAAUCCUGCUACUCUAAGUCAGUGUUUUCCAGGUAUUCGGUCACGAUAACCAAUAAUGUUUGUGUCUCUGUUCACUCCACCGUUUCCUGAGCCCCUGGAAGAAGCCAUGACUGGUCAUCAUACCCCACCUCCUAGCAGCAUCUGGUACAGCAAGUCCUCCAUCAGUUGCAAUAGGAUGGAAUACAAUUGAGGAAAAUCACCAAAGCUUCUAAAGCAACAAACUGUAGUUAUCAAAAAGAAAU